AACGAACGCUGGCGGCAUGCCUAACACAUGCAAGUCGAACGAGACCUUCGGGUCUAGUGGCGCACGGGUGCGUAACGCGUGGGAACCUGCCCUUAGGUUCGGAAUAACUCCCCGAAAGGGGUGCUAAUACCGGAUAAUGUCUUCGGACCAAAGAUUUAUCGCCUUUGGAUGGGCCCGCGUUGGAUUAGCUAGUUGGUAGGGUAAAAGCCUACCAAGGCGACGAUCCAUAGCUGGUCUGAGAGGAUGAUCAGCCACACUGGGACUGAGACACGGCCCAGACUCCUACGGGAGGAAGCAGUGGGGAAUAUUGGACAAUGGGCGAAAGCCUGAUCCAGCAAUGCCGCGUGAGUGAUGAAGGCCUUAGGGUUGUAAAGCUCUUUUACCCGGGAUGAUAAUGGCAGUACCGGGAGAAUAAGCACCGGCUAACUCCGUG
RNAcentral lists this ribosomal RNA (433 nucleotides) under uncultured bacterium. RNAcentral describes it as "partial 16S ribosomal RNA". It matches the Rfam family "Bacterial small subunit ribosomal RNA", at positions 29 to 507 of the family's 1533-position model. The record is from RNAcentral.